ACAGAGAGCUUGCUCUCGGGUGACGAGCGGCGGACGGGUGAGUAAUGUCUGGGAAACUGCCUGAUGGAGGGGGAUAACUACUGGAAACGGUAGCUAAUACCGCAUAACGUCGCAAGACCAAAGUGGGGGACCUUCGGGCCUCAUGCCAUCAGAUGUGCCCAGAUGGGAUUAGCUAGUAGGUGGGGUAACGGCUCACCUAGGCGACGAUCCCUAGCUGGUCUGAGAGGAUGACCAGCCACACUGGAACUGAGACACGGUCCAGACUCCUACGGGAGGCAGCAGUGGGGAAUAUUGCACAAUGGGCGCAAGCCUGAUGCAGCCAUGCCGCGUGUGUGAAGAAGGCCUUCGGGUUGUAAAGCACUUUCAGCGGGGAGGAAGGCGGUGAGGUUAAUAACCUUGUCGAUUGACGUUACCCGCAGAAGAAGCACCGGCUAACUCCGUGCCAGCAGCCGCGGUAAUACGGAGGGUGCAAGCGUUAAUCGGAAUUACUGGGCGUAAAGCGCACGCAGGCGGUCUGUCAAGUCGGAUGUGAAAUCCCCGGGCUCAACCUGGGAACUGCAUUCGAAACUGGCAGGCUAGAGUCUUGUAGAGGGGGGUAGAAUUCCAGGUGUAGCGGUGAAAUGCGUAGAGAUCUGGAGGAAUACCGGUGGCGAAGGCGGCCCCCUGGACAAAGACUGACGCUCAGGUGCGAAAGCGUGGGGAGCAAACAGGAUUAGAUACCCUGGUAGUCCACGCUGUAAACGAUGUCGAUUUGGAGGUUGUGCCCUUGAGGCGUGGCUUCCGGAGCUAACGCGUUAAAUCGACCGCCUGGGGAGUACGGCCGCAAGGUUAAAACUCAAAUGAAUUGACGGGGGCCCGCACAAGCGGUGGAGCAUGUGGUUUAAUUCGAUGCAACGCGAAGAACCUUACCUGGUCUUGACAUCCACAGAACUUUCCAGAGAUGGAUUGGUGCCUUCGGGAACUGUGAGACAGGUGCUGCAUGGCUGUCGUCAGCUCGUGUUGUGAAAUGUUGGGUUAAGUCCCGCAACGAGCGCAACCCUUAUCCUUUGUUGCCAGCGGUUAGGCCGGGAACUCAAAGGAGACUGCCAGUGAUAAACUGGAGGAAGGUGGGGAUGACGUCAAGUCAUCAUGGCCCUUACGACCAGGGCUACACACGUGCUACAAUGGCAUAUACAAAGAGAAGCGACCUCGCGAGAGCAAGCGGACCUCAUAAAGUAUGUCGUAGUCCGGAUUGGAGUCUGCAACUCGACUCCAUGAAGUCGGAAUCGCUAGUAAUCGUAGAUCAGAAUGCUACGGUGAAUACGUUCCCGGGCCUUGUACACACCGCCCGUCACACCAUGGGAGUGGGUUGCAAAAGAAGUAGGUAGCUUAACCUUCGGGAGGGCGC
This 1387-nucleotide ribosomal RNA is filed under the name Klebsiella sp. NFM8. RNAcentral's name for it is "bacterial SSU rRNA". It matches the Rfam family "Bacterial small subunit ribosomal RNA". The record is from RNAcentral. Lineage: Bacteria; Pseudomonadati; Pseudomonadota; Gammaproteobacteria; Enterobacterales; Enterobacteriaceae.